GGGGGGGGGGGGGGGGGGGGGGGGGGGGGGGAGGGGGGGGGGGGGGGGCGGGGGUGGUGGGGGAGGGGGGGGGAACACGUGGGAACGGGGCCUGUGGGUCGGAACAACUCAGGGAAACUUGAGCUAAGACCGGAUGUGCCCUGCGGGGGAAAGAUUUAUCGCCAUUGGAGCGGCCCGCGUCUGAUUAGCUAGGUGGUGAGGUAACGGCCCACCAAGGCGACGAUCAGUAGCUGGUCUGAGAGGAUGAUCAGCCACACUGGGACUGAGACACGGCCCAGACUCCUACGGGAGGCAGCAGUGGGGAAUCUUGCGCAAUGGGCGAAAGCCUGACGCAGCCAUGCCGCGUGAAUGAUGAAGGUCUUAGGAUUGUAAAAUUCUUUCAGCGGGGACGAUAAUGACGGUACCCGCAGAAGAAGCUCCGGCUAACUUCGUG
Molecule: ribosomal RNA, 433 nt
Filed under: uncultured bacterium
Lineage: Bacteria
Description: partial 16S ribosomal RNA
Rfam family: Bacterial small subunit ribosomal RNA (bases 45-433)
Source: RNAcentral